UAGGGAAUCUUCCGCAAUGGACGCAAGUCUGACGGAGCAACGCCGCGUGAGUGAAGAAGGAUUUCGGUUCGUAAAACUCUGUUGUUAGAGAAGAACAGCGCAUAGAGUAACUGUUAUGCGUGUGACGGUAUCUAACCAGAAAGCCACGGCUAACUACGUGCCAGCAGCCGCGGUAAUACGUAGGUGGCAAGCGUUGUCCGGAAUUAUUGGGCGUAAAGCGAGCGCAGGCGGUCAAUUAAGUCUGAUGUGAAAGCCCCCGGCUCAACCGGGGAGGGUCAUUGGAAACUGGUGGACUUGAGUGCAGAAGAGGAGAGUGGAAUUCCAUGUGUAGCGGUGAAAUGCGUAGAUAUAUGGAGGAACACCAGUGGCGAAGGCGACUCUCUGGUCUGUAACUGACGCUGAGGCUCGAAAGCGUGGGUAGCAAACAGG
RNAcentral lists this ribosomal RNA (429 nucleotides) under Bacteroidota bacterium. RNAcentral describes it as "Bacteroidetes bacterium partial 16S ribosomal RNA". It matches the Rfam family "Bacterial small subunit ribosomal RNA", at positions 355 to 776 of the family's 1533-position model. The record is from RNAcentral. Lineage: Bacteria; Pseudomonadati; Bacteroidota.